This is a long non-coding RNA of Pseudophryne corroboree (corroboree frog), 834 nucleotides long. RefSeq lists it as uncharacterized. The record is from RefSeq and is a predicted model, not a curated record. NCBI's taxonomy places the organism in Eukaryota, Metazoa, Chordata, Amphibia, Anura, Myobatrachidae. The transcript has 3 exons.
CAGCAGAGCAGGCUCACUCACUCACUGUAAUGUGCACGCAGCUGCAGCACAGCCUCAUUAUACGUAUGUGGAGGCUGGGCUGACUGAACUGUAGGGGGAGCUGCAGAGUCACUUCACCCGGCCAGCUCCUCUCAGGCAGUUCCCAUGGGCCUUUGAGAGUUCAGAGGUCGGGUGAGGAAGUGUUUCUGCAGCAGGUCCGUGUCUGGCAUGCUGGAGGGGGGAUGGCUGAUCGGAGAACUCGGACAGACAGCUCCAGUGAUGAGGAGGGCACAGCUGCGGGCAGCCAGAAAACAAAGAGCCUUAUGUACACCUGGUGUGGAGGUGCAGCCCUGCCCCACCCCCAACCCGAUCGCAGGCCACGCCCAUGUUCCCCUGGACUACGCGGAGAACACCAGAGGAGCGGAACCCAUAACUUCUACUGAGGCUGUCUGUCCGUCCUGUGUGAGCUUGCAUGGAAGGAGCAACGGUGGCUGGGACCCGGGAGCUGCAUUAGAGGAGGUCUAUGUCUGUGACUCCAAGUGGGACUCUAUGGGACUUUCCAUCAUCUGAGGACCAGGAUAGAGACCACAUGCUACUUGGACUUGUCGGUGCCCUUCCUUGUUCAGUGAGAGCCAUUACCCCUGUGGAAGUUGAUUAUAUGUGAUUUUCAGAUUUUCUGAAUGUGAGUGUAACUGUUAAAAUGUGUCCUAAUUUUUAAAUGUUGCACUAAAUUCUUCUCCCCUUGAGUUUUCAUAUGCUCGAGUGGAGGAAGAUAUUUUAAGAAAAAGGACCAAUAUUAAAUAUGUUGGAGGAUUAUGAUGAGCGAGUUUUUACACAUUCUAGAUUAUCUAUUAA